UGGAGAUUCACUGAUCUGAAACACCACAGCUUAGAAUGUGAAAGUGUAGCUGUAUGACAAGUUCCAUUGGCUAAUAAUAAACUGGAUGAUGAAUUCAUUGCUUUAUGUACAAAACAGACAAACAGGUAGAGCUCAGAGAAUUGCAUGGAACUACAACGGUAAGGUAACUAACCUGACAAGACGUGUAGUAUCACCCAAUAUAAUUAAUUCACUGUUAGUAUAAGAGAGAAAGGGAUAGUAUUAUAGCAUUAUCAAUAGAGGAAACAUUUCCAAAAAUGCAUAUAAGGAGAUUUAAUAAAUAUAAAUGUACAUCUUGAAGUGUUCUAACUAUAUCUAUUCACAGCAAAUGCAAAUCUAUAUAGAUAGAAAAUGUAUAAGAAUAAUUAUUUUUUAUUUACCUCAUUGACAAAUUACCCUGUCAGAAAAAGAAGAAAAUGGCUGCCUGGGUGAUUUUGAAUACCAUCCAUGAUAAUGCCAGCUUGUAUGAAGCAAAUUGGAUUUGAAGUUUACCGCUGUUUUAUAAACUAAAGAUUGCAUUUCAUACACUUACUUAAAGUUUUCCUUGUCAUCCACAUGUUUUGUGUCUUUCUAAUACCACAAAUGACACACACACACACAAAAAAACUAUUACUGUGGUUUCCACUGCUCCUAAGGCACGGAUUGGAUGGGCAUCACGAACAAGUGAAUUUGAAUAAUGAUUACCAAUUUUGUCUAACCUACCGUUAUUACUUUGUUGGCACUAGGAAGCAAUGGGGCAACAAAGAUGUGUUGCGGACUAAAGCAUAAAUAGUUUUGCCCGCAUGUUGCUUAACGCUGCAGCACUAAUGCAGUGUAGCCCGUUUUCUCUGAAUCAUUUCCAUUCACCGCAUAAGACAAAAAGCACAAAAUGAGUGGUUUUAAUAGGUACAUGUAAUGGUUCUAACAGAUGUGCAUCUGACAGAUCCUCUAUAUACAUUUUUGAUGAGUAAGUCAUCUAAGUCACUACUCAAUAUCAGUCGCUCAUAAUACUAAUCUUCAAGCAUUUUGUAAUUAUAACACAGCCUGCGUUAUUCACUUACAAGGCAAUUACAACUUCUAAAAUAUAAAUCCUAAAAUUUUAAUUCAAUCUUUUUUUUAUAUAAUUUUAAAAAAAAUUCUAUUCUUUCAUUUUAUUGUGUAUGUUCUGUCAAGUCAUUUAUAAAAACCUUUGGAAGAGAAAAUCAAUCUGCAUCAAAUGCAGAUAUAUCUAAAUUUUUACCCAAGGCACAUUUUGGAGUAAAAAAGAAGAGAUUAUCUUUAUCUUGAAUAAUGAACUACUUCUUUCAUAAAUUCAUUUAAAGAGCAAUAUAGAUUAAAGAUGCUGACUGUCAGUAUAUUCAGCAAGACACAGGACAUGGUACAUCUGUAGAUAUAAGAUGUAGUUGUGUCUGAUGCAUUACAGACUCCAUGUCCUACCAUUGGUUUGCAUCUUAUGUUGUAGUGCAUUGCUUCUUGCUGUUAUCCUUUAAACUGUCACCCACAAACCUUUAGCACACUUGUAAAAUUUACCAGGAAAGGUUAAAAGAUCUUAACAUGUAUAGCUUCAAGGAAUGACGAAACGGAUAUGAUAGAAAUAUUUAAAUACAUAAAGGGAAUCAACACAGUAAGGAGGAGACUAUAUUUAAAAUAAGGAGAACUACCACAACAAGAGGACAUAGUCUUAAAUUAGAGGGGCAAAGUUUUAAAAAUAAUAUCAGGAUUCAGGAAGUAUUAUCAGGAAUAGCCUUCCAGCUGAAGUGGUAGAAGUUAACACAGUGAAGGCGUUUAAGCAGGCGUGGGAUAGGCAUAAGAUAUAACAUAAGGCCAGGGUCUAAUCAAAGUAUUUAAAAAAAAAUUGGGCAGACUAGAUCGGCCGAAUGGUUCUUAUCUGCCGUCACAUUCUAUGUUUCUAUGUUUUUUUUUUUAUUCUUUAUUUUUCAUUGUGCAAGAGAUAACAAGACAGCUUACAGAGCCACAACGGCCUAUGCAAGCACAUUGAUAACAUUGUUGUACAUUCCUGUGGCAUUUAAAGUCGUAGCACAAAAUUUUUAGCAAGUAGUUAUAGUCAAGCUGUAUAACACGCAGAACUAUAAAACUAUAUGAACACGUGAUCGGCACAUGUUUAGUAGAAUAAGUGUAGCUUGUCAUAUAUAUCUAGUAAGACUGCGCUUUUAGUAUGAGUAAAGUUUAGCGGUUUUAGCUAAUAUUGCAGCCGGUUUUGUGCAGUAUAACUGGCAGGAUUCACAUUUACUCUAGGCUUUACCUUAGUGUCACUGUGCUUGAUUAUACAUAAACUGAUUUUGUAGCUUAAACAUAUAAUAGACCUGCGCUACUCUAUUCAGUUGUUGUAUCGGCACAUUUUUUAUACACAAUCGAGUACUGCGGAGUAGAUCAGUAGAUUAGUUAUUGUGAGUGGUAAUAGCAAGAGGUGAGUUUGUAAGAGAGAAGUUGACACGACUAGCUUAGAGUAGUACCAUGCUGGAUUGAACCUUUUCAUAACAGGCUGUGUCUCUAUGUUUUUAAGUGGUUAAGAGAACCAAAGUUAUUUCCCUCACAAAUAAGCUGAACACACUUUUUCAUAUCAGAAAUAGCACAAAUAAUUGCAGCAGCAUUAUUCCAUCAUGGAACACCCAGGGCUUGCUCAAGGGUACUUGUUGCCAUCGGCAAAGUGAGAUUUCAUUAACACGGCUCUGUCAUCAGAAUUGUUCACUGUAUCAUCAUAUGGCAAAUUACACAUUUCCUGUACAUUGUGUUGCAUGGUUUUAUAACUGUAUAAAUAUUGUAUGAAGGAUUUUUUUUAGCUAUUAUGAACUUUCUGUGUGCACAUUGGGCAACCUGUGUCAACAGGCAGUUUUACAUUUGUUCGCCUCCUUACUGCACAGUAGAAAACAGGGCUGGAUUUCCCAAAAGCCAAAAUAGUCACUUGCCUACAGGUGUAUGACUGACAGGGGUACCUAAUAUAUCUGUUAAAAUUCCAUUUCCUACCUCCUGUCCUGUCUCUGCUGUUACUAAACUCUGAGCAGUGGCGAGCCUGUCACUACAUGGGGCUUGGCCACUGCUGUGACCCCUGCAACUAUGAGCUACUUGCAUAUAUUCAUGGCUGGUACACUACAGCACCAGCCCUCCGGCGCAUAGUUGCAGGGUGACUGGCAGGAAGGGAGCACUGUGCUGUGCUGCUCCCCUUCUGCCUCUGUGUGUAGCAUUGCUGAGCAAACCGCAAUUUGACAGGAAGUUCUCACUGGAAGGGAAUAAGAACAUAUAGGGGCAGGGGGAAGGGAAUGAGACACAUGGAAGGCUGGGGGGAGGGACAGACCCAUGUGGACGGGCUUGGGGGGAGACACAUAGUGGGGACAUCCCAACAUGCCGUUAGGUGGCUUCACUAGCUACUUUUAAUCAUACAGUGAUAUUGAUACAGUGCCCCUAUCUACAAAGUAAGAUGGAGCGAGUUAGUCCCCGGGCAGCGCUCACAUACAAGGAGGAGUUCCUUCGGGAGAUGUGAUGGCGACUGUCCUUUUUUGUCCUGAGGUUCCGGUAAGGAUUGUCAGGGCACGCGAGGCCCAAGUGACCAAGCACCUGCAGUACCAAGCACUAGGAAGCAGCGGUUGAUGGAGGUACCCGGCCGGGGUGCCAGGCGGUCCGUCACAAUCAUACUACGAUAUUAAGUUCACUCUAUGAAACUAUCUUAAAAUAAUGCAAACCACUCUUCUCACACUGCAAGAACGCACCAGCCACUUAUAUUUGCAUUUAAAUGCUGUUGUUUAUUUGGUAAGCUCUAGGUGCGAUGUAAUAAUACUGAGUUUUAUUUCAACAACAGGAGACUUGUCAGUGUGGAAUUGGGCUGAUCUUUGUAAUAAUGCUGAAAAGAUUCACUGUCCAAAAUAUCUUCUUGCUUUAGAUAAAGUCUAAUCUUUCUACUUAUAAGUCUGCCCCUCAUGACAAAGAUUUCUCUGUGAUUAUGGGCUGGACUGUGUGACCCAGAGAUUGUAACAGUUCACCCUGAAAUACUGAGGUUACUGUAAAAAGAGUUUCUGUCAUUACACUGGGAAUUGAAAUGAAUAAACAGUAUCACAAAGUUUAGGCCAAACCAGUUAAACGGGAUAAAAUAGUUUGGCAAUAUUUCCACUGUAGGGAAUUAACUCAUUGAGUAGUACCUGUAUAUUUCCCAAACAGAAUCUGAACCAAAAUAUGUAGUGUUCAUUUGCCCUGAGUGUAAAAUGGUUUCUCAUAAACUUAUAAGAAAAGUAUAAAAGAAAAUGCAUAAAAAUAAAAUAACUAAAUAAUGACAAUGCUUGGAUUGAUGAAUGUAACAGAAUAUCCCUCUUGGAAUCCACAUUUGCAUAUAUUUGCAUGUUAUGGUAAUACAGACAGAAUGUUGUAAUUUGUAUUAUCUAUGUUCCCCUAACUUCCCCUCCUAUGUUAUUAUUGCAUGUGGUUUCCUGUAUGAUUUAUCCAUAUGACUAACAGAGUAAUUUACUAAUGUGUAAAUUCAAGGUGAAUUUCAAAUUUAAGGUCAGGAUAGCUGAAAUGAAAGUAUAGCUUUUUUUUUUUCAAAUUAAUCUAUUUGGACCUUGAAUUUUACAUUCUCUUUGAAUCCGCUAUUUAAUGAAUAACCUUGUAUGUGUUAUGUACUAUUGUGAGUGUGUCAUCAGUGGAUGGCAAAGUGGAACAGUUCUGGAUUCCAAGCUGAUGGCCAGUCUACCCUGUUCUCACUACAGUGAUAGUUGAUAGGGCAUCUCUUCAAACUGCAAUCAAUAUUUCUCUAGGUAACUGUUUGUUGUGUAUUACCUAGCUCUAGAAACACUGAUCAGCCACAACAUUAAAAGCACUGACGGGUGACGUGAUUAAAGGACCACUAAAGUGCCAGGAAAACAUACUCGUUUUCCUGGCACUAUAGUGCCCUGAGGGUGCCCCCACCCUCAGGGACCCCCUCCCGCCGGGCUCUGGGGAGAGGAAGGGGUUAAAAUCUUACCUUUCUCCAGCGCCGGGCGGGGAGCUCUCCUCUCCGCCUCUUCUCCUCUUCUUCGGCUGAAUGCGCAUGUGAGGCAGGAGCUGCGUGCGUAUUCAGCCAGUCUCAUAGGAAAGCAUUCAUAAUGCUUUCCUAUGGACGCUGGCGUCUUCUCACUGUGAUUUUCACAGUGAGAAGCACGCAAGCGCCUCUAGUGUCUAGCGGCUGUCAAGAGACAGCCACUGGAGGCUGGAUUAACCUAUUUAUAAACAUAGCAGUUUCUCUGAAACUGCUAUGUUUAUAAAAAAAUGGAUUAACCCUAGCUGGACCAGGCACCCAGACCACUUCAUUAAACUGAAGUGGUCUGGGUGCCUAGAGUGGUCCUUUAAAGUUAUUAUAUCAUUACAAUACUACCUGUCAAUCGGUGGAAUAUAUAAGCUACUGAAGCUUAAAUUGCUAUAAAAAAAAACCUGUAAUGUUGGCAUCAUUAGAGAUUUUACCUCUUAGCAGAAAGCAGCAAGGUGAAUUGUUAGUGUAGAACUCACCCAAGAGAAUUUGCCUUGACAUGGCAGGUGAGCUUACAUUUUAAUAGACAUUGGAGUGAUACUAAAAGAACUCCAGUUAUUUAAAUGUGGAUAGGCAUAUGGGGUAGUGCCCAAGUGACUUUUUUCCUUAGUUUUUAUUGUAUGAAAAGAUCUGAGUGACUUUGACAAGUGUUAAAUAGUGAUUGCUAUGUUACUGGGUCAGAGAAUGUCCAAAACAACAAGUGCAGUGGUUAGUAUCUACAAAAAAUGGUGCAAGGAAACUGGUUAACUGACGUAAAGGUCAUGGGCGCCCAAGGCUCUUUGAUACAUACCACCUACGCACAGAAUGUUACAGACUACGUACAACCCCUCAUGGGAAUGGUGUUCUCUGAUGGCAGUAGCAUCUUUCAGCAGGAUAAUGUGCCCUGCAACACAAAAAUAUUUCAGGAAUGGUUUGAGGAAUUUGAAAAAGAGUUCAAGGUGCCACCAAAUUCCCCAGAUUUCAAUCUGAUCGAGCAACUGUGAGAUGUGCUGGGACAACAAAUACGAUCCAUGGAUGGCCCACCUCGCAACUUGCUGGACUCAAAGGAUAUGCUGCUAAUGUCUUCAUGCCAGAUUUCACAGGACUCAUUCAAUAGCCCAUGCCUCAAGCAUCAGUGUUGUUUUGGCAGCUAUACUUGACCAUACUAUAAUAGGCAGGUGGUUUUAAUGUUGUGGCGUAUAUAGGGGGAUUCUGAAAUAGUCAUAACAUUACUGAAGAUAUAAAAUAUAGAUCCUUUUAUGUAUUCUGUGGAUAGCAGAUUAGUUGCUCUGGCAACCAUUUCAAAGUCUAAAAGGAAGGAAAUGUAGUUGUUAUGUAAUAUGUGCUGCACCCCACUGACAUGAAUGAGUUGCAUUCACUAAUAAUAGGCUAUGAAAUUCCUAAUUGGCCACACAGUGUAAAGAAGAGCAUCUUGAAGAUUGUCUUCAUUUGUUUUGUGAUAUGGAUUGAAUAUGUCCCUGCACUGAAGAAUUACUUAAAGGGGAGACGUCACUGCUCCGGAAAUUACAUUAUUAAAUAAUACAAUGAAAAUGACCUGUAAUUAAUCUUUUUUUUCACGUGAUUUUAUUUUAAAUGUACAUGAAAUAUUCAGCAACUGACAUCUCAUUCCAGUCCAUUCAUGGCACAGCCAGGGCACACAUUGCAUUACAAUUAUUUAUAUAGUGCCAACAUAUUCUACAGCUCUGUACAAUAGGUAAACAAACAAGACAAAUUAAAUUGUAAAAAAACACAUACAAGAACUUAAUGCUGGCAAAGAGGGUCCUGUCCAGAAGAGCUUGCAAUCUAAAAAAAAAUGUUUCUGUUUUUUCAUUCCUCUCUGUUGUUUUUCUUUGUUGCCUCACAACUGCAAAGGACAAACCUAUAACAAUGAUGAUUAGAACAGGCAGUUUAAAGUUAUCCCCAAAGAUAACAUUAAGUCCUCAAAUGUUGCUAAGAAAAUAGAUUAGACUAGAUGUGAGUAAUGUCACCUGCCCCAUAAUAUAUCCCCUCUGCAGUAGUUAAAUCUGUAGUUUAUUUUUCACAGUGGACUGCCGAAAGAGCAGAAACGUUUGCCACCAUGUGUAUAUUUAAUUGCAAAUCAAUUAGUAACACAUUUACGUGUUUGGCUACCACAAUUUUAGGUAAAAUCUGAAAAACUUUGAAGCUGACAGGCAGCAUAACAGUCCCUUUAAUUUAAAAUAAAUUAUUUUAUACCUUAGCAUGUUAAGCUUAGUGAGCUCAGUUACUAAUCAAUCUUGAUGAACUACUGAAAUGUUUCAAAAAUGUAAUAAAAUAUAUCUUUCUGUAUGAAAAGGCAAGAGCGACGUUGGUUCAGUCAGAUAUUAGAGGUAUGUGGUCUCUUACUAUGUGUCAACCACCAACCAUAUUUGAUUAAGAAAAUUACACCAAUUUGAUCGUAAUGAAUUUACAUCUGUAAAGUAUAUAAAGAUAAGAAUGUAAUCAAAAUUCUUUCUGUGCCGUAUCAUCGACAUCAUCAAAGACGGCUUUUUCAAAGGCACCUGUAGUUUGUCGACUCAAAGUCUACAGAUUUGAGUUCAAAACAAACUGUAACCAAGGAAUUAACUCAUUGAGUGACAGAGUGUGUUGUAUACAAAUUCCAUGCUAACACAAAGACCAUUGAGGUAGAAAAAUAGUUUUGCACAUACCUUUUUAAGUAUUACUUGUUGUGUUAUAGUAAUAGUAUUAACUGUUAAUUGUCAUGGUACAGAGCUCUAUGGGACUGAUUAUCAGAUCCCCUUUGUUCCUUUAUGUCUACAGUAGGUAAAUAUCCGUGAAACUGUAUAGAGAAAUUCAGUUCAAUCCCUUCUUUUGUUCCCAGAGCUUAUAACUUCACUUUGUGGCUCUAGACCACUUGAACUUGAUGCUGCAACAUCAUGUCUGACUUUAUUUUUAUAUAUCCAGCCUUUUGUUCCCAAUACAGAAAUAUUGGAAUUUAUUCCAAGAAUCAAGGGACCAGCAAAGUACCCAAAAGGUAACUAAGGGCAUGAGCAACAUGAACAUUUUAUUUCAAGUCAAACUCACGUUUGUGAGUCAUAAAAAAGCAAAACAAUGUCUGUGCGUCUACCCUUUUUUGCCUUCUUUUGGAUCAAUAGCAAAAAACAGAUGUGAGGAAGGCUUAACAUGAUGGACACAUCUCUUUUCAGCCUGAGUAGCUAUGCAACUAUGUAACCCUAAAAAUAUAACUAUAUAUAAUCCAAACGAUGUAGAAAUUGCACUCAAUCAGUCUAGACAUGGUUAUCAGCAGUGCUGGCUAUCUUGUUCCACAUUUAUGACGCAGAAAGUUCCAAGAGAAGUGGUGAUUUAUUCAACCAUAUAUACAAACAUGGCAGUGAGACAGACUGCAUUAAAUGUAGACCAAUGUAGUAAAAAAGCUAUAGGAAAACCGGACACUUUUCACAUAUACUACCGACCAUUAUAUAGGUGGGGCACAUAAGAUACCACAGUCCAAACUGGGAGGCGCUUAUAUUUUCAACCACUAAAUCAUACCACUGAAACCAAAUAUAUAAAAAAAAUAAACACAAACAUACGCUAUAUAGACAAAUGUAUUGGGACACCUGUAUUGGGACCAUUAUACCAAAGGGACUUUUAUGACAUUGCAUUCUAAAUACAUAGAUAUUUAUAUAUAGAUGGUCCACCCUUUGUAGCUAUAACAGCUUCCACUCUUCUUGGAAGACUUUCCACGUGAUUUUAGAGUGUCUAUUGAGUAGAGCGUGCCAUCCAGUAGAGAAUUUGUGAGAUCAGGCCCUGAUGUUGGGAGAGAAGGCAUGGCUCACAAUCUCCAUUCCAGUUGAUCCCAAAGGUGUUCAGUUGGGUUGAGGUAAGGGCUCUGUACGGGUCAGUCAAGUUCUUCUACACCAAACCAAUCCAACCAUGUCUUUAUGGAUCUUGCACUUUGGCACCGUAAUGCUGGUAUAGAAAAUGGCCUUCCCCAAACUGUUUCCACAAAGUUGGAAGCAUAGAAUUGUCUAGUGUUUGCUGAACUACUUCUCUUCACUGUAAGGUGCCUUGCCGAAUCCCUGAAAAACAGCCCCAUACCAUUAUCCCUACUCCAUCAAACAUUACAGUUGGCACAAUGCAGUCAGGCAGGUAACAUUAUCUUGACAUGCACCUAACCUAGAAUUUCCCAUCCGACAGCCAAACAGAAAAGCAUAAUUCAUCAUUCUAAAGAACACAUUUCCACUGCUCCAGAGUCCAGUGGCGAAAUGCUUUAAACCACUCAAACUGAAGCCUGGCCUUAUACUUGGGGAUGUGAGGCUUGCAUGCAGCUGCUUGGCCUUGGAAACUCAUUCCACAAAGCUCCCGCCACACAGUUUCUGUGCUGAUAUUAUUGCCUGUAGAGGUUUGGAACUCUUCAGCUAUGGAAUCAGCAGAGCAUUGGCAACUUUUACACACCAUGUGACCCACUCUGUGAAUUUACGCAGUCAUCUUGAGUUAAUGCUAUUUCUAAAAACUGACCAUUUUUUCACAAAUGUUUAUAAAUGCAGACUGCAUGGCUAGGUGCUCGAUUUUAUACAUAGUGUGGCACAGGGUCUGAUUGAAAUACCUGAAUUCAAUAGUUAAGAAGUAUGUCCCAAUACUUUUGUCCAUAUAGUGUAUUCAGAGGAGGCAAGUGCCAUAUCUAUAGUUUACCAAUCAGAGUAAACACGGCACUAUGGGGUUAUUUAAAAAGUGCCUGUGUUUACCAAAGUUUAAAACAAUUGCGAAAGAAUGGCUCAUCUGGCAACCACGGUUCCUAUUCCAGUCAGAGCGGUGAUAUGCAAGGAACUGGAAUUUUGCUGGAGCUAUUUAAAUAAUGAAAUAAUAAUAAUAACUGUUUUCCACCAAUUUAUCGCUCCUAAGCUGCUAGAUGAUCCUUUCACCUGCCACCUGACUUCUCACCAAUUCUCUGUACUGGGUGGGAUUUCUUUCCCUCUAAUACACAUUAAUUAAGUCCUGCACCACAGCACCAUACACUUGUCACAAGGCACUGCUGGUUGGCUUUGGUAAGAGGGGGUGGUUUCUGCAGCCCUGUGCCCUACUGCCUCAGUCAAUUACAGUGAGGUGUAGUGUGUACAGAGGAUAUACGUGGUAAGGUGAGUAGGAUCAGGAGUAAAUUAGUGCCUCCAGAUUGGUUACUUACAUCCCAAUGAGAGGAUGGUCUGUCAAGUCUGGCUUCUCUUCUCAGCUGUGCAGGUAGUAAAGGAGGCAGGUUCCUCUGUUUCUUUGGUUGUAAUUGCUCACCAAAACCCCUGGCUCAAUUUCCUGCUCCUCCAGGUAUUCACAUCGUUAUCAUAGCAGGGCCGGGCCUGAUCUUGGAAUAAUACAUUUUAAAAUGGAAAAAACUACUUACAGUUAGAUUAUGCUGUAUAGAUUGAUUGCUCUGCAAUUUGGAGAGAUUAGACUGCUCUAGUUGUGGGAAUACUGUCCCACUGGGAUAAGGUGAAAUUUCAGUGUGCUGGCAUACCUUCCGGCCGUACAGCACAGUGCUAUAUCUCCUGCCAGUAAGUGCAUGCAACGUGGUCGAGCAGACCAUGGUCUGACAGGAAGUGCUCCUUGAGAGCAACAAGCACUUCCAUUCAGACAGGAUUCUGCGGUUCGCUCAUCCCCGCUUGCAGGUGAGCAGGUACCGGAGGGUACCGGUAUUGGGGGAGAGAAACAUGCAGGGGUGGCAGGGAAUAAGACACAUGGAGGAGUUGGGGAGGAAUAUGACACGACGUAGGGCUGGUAGGAGGUAAUGAGGGGGGUCCAGGGCAAUUUUCAUGAGGGGGCACAGGGCAAUUUUCACACUGGUGCCGGUGGAUUUGUAUUUUUGCCUCUGGGCUUCUCUUCUGAAUGCUUAAUCAAUGUCUGCAUCACAUCCCUGUCUGCGUCAGACAAUAUAUACAAAUAUAGAGGGUUUAUUCACUAAACACAAAAUUUUAAUACAUUUAUGUGACAAACACUCCUUCCCACGUACGUUUGCCAUGAACUCCUGGAAGUUUGGAAGCUGGCCUCCUGCCCACCGACUUUGGUCCAUGUGACAAUUCACUAUUUUCCCUGUGUUCAAGACAUUUCCCUGCAAUUUUUCGUAUAAUAUGUUCCCCAAAACCCCAUUCACGUUUCCCCAAUUCGAGAGCUGCACGCUACCGAACACUGACCACCACCCUGGCCUAUUAACUACAAACUAACCACAAACUUAAGUGCUCUCCCUGUGUGGCUGCUGUUUGUAUAAUUGAACUGGGGAAAAUGGUGGCCAUCUUGUCCCACGAACGCAGGCAGCGGCACUUGGUCGUUGAGUGUAUGGAACUCAAAGUCGGAUACAUCCUCGUGUGAACCUCUGUGAUCUUGCGUCAGCACCUGCUUCUUUUGCCGACAAGACAGGAGAGUGCUGUUCGUGGGAUUGUUUGCACAAACUACGCCAGAGUAUAAGGGAUCUGUUACAGUCCAGGUUUGAGAUCCUGUUAGGGAGUGACCCUGCCCAGCAUUCGAACAACAGCUUCCCCUUCAUGCCCCUGGUUCGGCACUUUCCCUUCAUUUGAAUGGAACUAAAUGCUAGAUCCCUGGUCGCCGUUCACAUGAACCAAAGCCAUGAAUAGUCCUCAGCAGUAUUUAGCUGCGACCGCUUUGGAACUAAUUUCAGCUUGAGGACUUUGGGUGUCUCGGUCACCUCAGUGGGACUUAACCGUGAAUGUUAUGGAACUGUUUUCGGCAUGAGGUGACUGUGCGGUUCCCGGACAACUUGGUCUGAGAUUUUGAACCACUUUGCAACCCGUCAGGAGAGUGCUUUUUGUAUGGAAUGUGCCUGAGACUAUGAGGAACAAACACUCCCUGAGAGCCAGGUAGAGCACCCCGUAUUGUGGAUGCAGGAACUCUUGAAAGUUGACCGGCAAAAGCACCAAUCGUCCUGGAACUAUUUUGUGCAUAGGACCACACGUGCGGCCGGUCAGAACUGUAACACGGUGACGUUUUCCCUACACUGCAUUGAUCUGAGUGCUAUGUGGAGAACUUGGGCGCUCAGAUUAAGGCUAUCUGAGAGUGUGCAAAGUUUUACUCAAAAAAGAAUUUCAAUGCAUCUUAAUAUAAUCAUUGACAAGCAUUUAGAAUUCUGAUUUUUUUUCAGCAACUUUUUAUGAAAUGUUCACCCGUGUAACUGAAGUCUGCUUACUUGGCUUGUUGCAUUGUUUGCUUAUGCAUGUUUGGAGAGCGUUGAACAUGAUUCAGUGAGUGAAGUGGAUGAGAAAAGUGUGUGAAUGGUCAGUAAAAAGGGUUAAAGCCUUGAUGUGUAAUAACUGCUUGGCCUUCUUGUUUAAAUUACUGUAGUUAGGACUGAAGCCAGUGCUCUGUGUGAGCAAGAAUGCUUCUAAAUAUGCAUACAAAUUGCAAAAAUCCCCUUCUACAAAACCAAUACAAAUUCUGAUGCUGCUUGUAAUGAGACAUAAAUGUUGUUAAAGGGACUCAAAACAACUUUAACUUAAUGAAGCAGUAUGGACAUAUGGUACAUGCCCCUGCAGACCCAUUACUUAAGCAAGUGCACUCUAGCCACUUCUGUUAGCUCUGAGGAGCCAACAAAAGCAGAAAAAAAACUGUGUGAGUGACAGCUAGAGAGAUGUUCCUGUUCCCAGUAAUAAUAGUGCUAAUUUCUAGUGAAACUGGCAAUAUUAUAAACUGUCAAAAAAUAAUCACUUACUCAGGUCACAUAAAGCACUCCAGCAAGCUUUAGGAAGUACUUUAUGUGUCUGGGGUAUUCCUUUAAUGUGCACUCAUGUUUAGCCAGGGCUCUCACUACCUCUUCGAUAUGUUUGUCAAAUGUGUCUUGUUGAAUGAACUUGUAUGUCUUGUCCAAAGCUGGUCCAGCAUUGUCGAAUAUGUCUGCAUUUUGUAAAUAGAAGUAGUAAUAAUAAUAAAUAUAUAUUUACCACUCACAAACAAUUCAUUUAAAUCAAAGGUGAUUCUUAACAGGAGAUUGAAGACCUUUAUGUAUAUCUCAUGUAUUGCAUGGGCACAAAUAGUGCAAGGCUCCUCCAAAAAGAACUCAGGUAAUGGCCCAACUUGGGGGUAUUUCACUUAUCACAUGUAAAGUAGAAAGAUUAUACGUAUUACAAAGUACAAUAACAUAUAAGAAUAUAUAGUGAUAAUUGUGAUGUGUUUUUCUCUUGUUGGUGGUUUUUAGAUCAGCGAUACAUACAUAAUUUUGUUAUGUUACUGACACUAUACUUGGGUUUUAUACUGUGUUGUUGAUCUUGUGCACAUAAUAGAUAACUCUACUAAACAGACUUGAAUUUAACUAGACUUGACUUGAAUUUUGUUUAUAAACCUAAAGAUUCAUUGGGCCACUUUCAAGUGUAGAGGUACAAGCAGACACUUCAUAAGUGGUUUUAAUAUGGUUACAAAUUUUAAAUGUGCAGUAUUUGAUGUUAUCUUUGUUAACAUUUUAAAAUAGCCACAAUAACAAUAAUCCUUAUUAAGAAGCAGGACAGGUGUCCUUAUGCUUUUGAAAAUGUUGGACUCACAAAACACAAAUUAAUUUCCUUUCAAAAUUCAUUAAAUUAAUUAUGAGUACUGGUAAUAUUAUUAUUAUUAUUAUUAAGAUGAUGAUGUUGUGCAUAAAUAUCCUUUCCAACCAACAAUAUAAUUUUCAGUUUCCCCAAGCUGAAAGCUAUCUCAUCGGAGGAAUAAUAAUGUUAGAAUAGACUAGGUUCGAACACAAAAUAGGACAUAUGUCAUUAUAAGGCAAGUGGGGAAAAAUGUUUUAUUAUCUGAUAGCUUAUAUUCAAAAAUGUAUUACAAAGAGAGAAUAAUAAAAAUAAAAAAAAGUUACCUAGGGUAGUAGGCAUGUGCAUUAACAAAAAUAUUAUAUUUUAAGUUGUGGAGGUACAAGCCGUGUAAUUUAUAAAGAGCCUGUUUUCUGCUACAUUGGUAGCGACCAUUUACAAUAUUGUAAAUGUGCCUGCUUUUUGUCUUCUCAGUUGGAGAGAAGUAACACAAUAGAGGACACGGCUGGCAGAAGCAGAGAAAAGAAAAGUAAAAAAAUGAAAAAGAAAGGAAGAGGAAUUGUAAAGCUCCUAACAUGGAAACAAAAUCUCAAUAUAAUCUAAUUCCAUAAGUAGUUGCAGGUACUUAUGCAUUAAAAAAGCUUUAAAAUGUAAUAGCGAAAAAGACAGAUUAUGCAAUAUUCCAGCAUGCAAAAUAUAUAUUCCCAUGUGAAUUUUAAUCGAACUGAACACCGAAGAGAAGACCGUUCUCCAGCAGGCUGUUAUGUACUGCUUAUUCUGAUAAAACUCAGUGCAAGGCAGAGACAAAAGGCCAAAGAAAGGAGCAUUCAAAAAAGGUCUACAGUCCACUGAUGCGAAUAAGGAUUUACAUAGGCUCCCGAGUAUGAUUCGCUAUGCUUAUCGUAAAAGGCGCCGUUGACUUGGUCUAUGAUGCUUUCAGAUCCGUUAAGCUUCCUAAAAGCCAGCAAUAGAUGUGUUGCAGUCUCGCCUGUAUGACUAGCUCCAUCUGUGUUUGCCUGCUUUAACAUAUCCAGCUGCCUUCCACUUUAGCAAUAGGCUGAUGUCAUUUGAGAAUUUGCAUUAGGUGUGUACACACAGAGCUCACAGGGAGUACAGCCGCUAGACAUUUGCCAAUGCAGUAAAUUAGGCAAGGCAGCAUGGAUAUAAUACAUUGAAUGUGUUAAUUAAAAAAGGG
Non-coding RNA from Pelobates cultripes (western spadefoot toad), 14653 nucleotides. The record is from the annotation of a GenBank genome assembly. NCBI's taxonomy places the organism in Eukaryota, Metazoa, Chordata, Amphibia, Anura, Pelobatidae.